Long non-coding RNA from Daphnia magna, 1101 nucleotides. RefSeq lists it as uncharacterized. The transcript is spliced from 2 exons. The record is from RefSeq and is a predicted model, not a curated record. NCBI's taxonomy places the organism in Eukaryota, Metazoa, Arthropoda, Branchiopoda, Diplostraca, Daphniidae.
GUGAAAGUAAGUGUUCUCUGAUUGCCCCCCAAAAAGGAUGUGAAAAAUAAGGUGUCGGCAUCCGCGAGGCGUCUGCCUAUACAUGUGUAGAAAAGUUGUUUCAGGCGAGUCACUGCCCCCAAAGCGUGAAUCAAUGCAACAGCACGCGUGUAAAGUGCUGAAAAAUGUUUUUUAAGUUUUAAAAAAUUCUAAUAGAAAAGCAAAGGCAUCACAGUGAAAAACAUUUCGAUUGGUUGAAGAGAGAAAAAACAUCCGAGUGAGGACAUUUAACGAUGACGUAACUCUUGAAAUUGUUUGAUAUCUACGAUUUAAAAAACGCCCAAUAAUGGGAAAAUGUCCUUAAAGAGCUGACGGCCGCCCGUUAGCGGCAUGUGUCCGAACGUCACGCGCACAAGUGAUAAGAGUUCAUCAUCACAUGAUCUAAGAUUAUUGUUUUGAUUACACAGUCUGUUCAGACUGAAAAAUAAAAGAAUCAGGUGUCUCCCGUUCGUGUGAUGCUCGCUUACAAUUUUUAUCGCAUCGUGCUUUAGCGUGGCCGCGUCACGCGCCCAAUCGAAUUCUGUGCAAGAAAUGAUGAAGGGAUUAAGCGUACACGGUGACCCCGCCCCCUACCCUAUCUACUUUUGAUAAAUCAGGUCAAUCUUAAGACUCUCACAUGUUUAAUUUGAAUCACGCGCUACGUGAUUACUCGUGAUAAUUGGGACAGAAAAAGUGCAAUUUCUCCUCGCAAAAAAAAAAGGAAGAUUGAAUUCACUCAACUCCAUUAUCUGGUCAUGACUAAGGAAAACUGUGUUAUAGAAUUUUAAAAGCUGUUUAACACAUAAAAGAAUUUUUAAAAAUAAAAAAAAGGAAGGCGUUUUUGACUUGGCAACAACACGAUCACGACGUAAAACUUCACCCACCUUCAACCCUGCGGCAUCUACCCCAAAAUGUGACCACUCCUGUUAGCUGCGAAGCCCUGCGGCUGUUGUGAACGUCAACAAGGUCAUCGGCACCCGAAAGGAAGCAAAUGUUUCCACCCCAAAAAAGGAUUCUUUUCUGAAUACAUAAGGUCAAGUUAUAAACGGAAUACAAUAAAAGUUGGUUCAACUUUCAUGUUUA